RNAcentral lists this ribosomal RNA (253 nucleotides) under uncultured bacterium. RNAcentral describes it as "partial 16S ribosomal RNA". It matches the Rfam family "Bacterial small subunit ribosomal RNA", at positions 524 to 776 of the family's 1533-position model. The record is from RNAcentral.
UACGAAGGGGGCGAGCGUUGUUCGGAAUUACUGGGCGUAAAGUGUGCGCAGGCGGCAGAGCAAGUCGAGUGUGAAAGCCCCGGGCUUAACUUGGGAAUUGCGCUCGAAACUACUUUGCUGGAGUGUGGCAGAGGAAGGUGGAAUUCCACGUGUAGCGGUGAAAUGCGUAGAGAUGUGGAGGAACACCAAUGGCGAAGGCAGCCUUCUGGGCCAACACUGACGCUCAUGCACGAAAGCGUGGGGAGCAAACAGG